AUAAAAACAUUUAGCAAGACUAGUAGUAAGUUCUUUUACUUAACAGAGAGGAUUAUUUAGCUGAGAUUAAUCUAAGUUAUGGCUUAUGAAUUUCACCUUGUAAGUUGAAUUUUAAUCAAUUCCGGUAUUUCCCGUUAUCGAAAGUUAAGUGUAGGGAUAUUCUAUCCCUAAACGAGGGUGGUACCGCGAAGCUUCGUCCCUGUU
Molecule: non-coding RNA, 204 nt
Filed under: Lactobacillus jensenii
Lineage: Bacteria; Bacillati; Bacillota; Bacilli; Lactobacillales; Lactobacillaceae
Description: T-box sequence
Rfam family: T-box leader
About the family: Uncharged tRNA acts as the effector for transcription antitermination of genes in the T-box leader family. T-boxes are found upstream of many aminoacyl-tRNA synthetase genes and some amino acid biosynthetic genes usually in Gram-positive bacteria.
Source: RNAcentral